This 505-nucleotide ribosomal RNA is filed under the name uncultured bacterium. RNAcentral describes it as "bacterial LSU rRNA". It matches the Rfam family "Bacterial large subunit ribosomal RNA", at positions 589 to 1094 of the family's 2925-position model. The record is from RNAcentral.
AUGCCUGACAGCGUGCCCUUGGAGAAUGAGCCUGCGAGUUAAUCUCAGUGGCGAGGUUAAGGGAGUAACACCCGAAGCCGUAGCGAAAGCGAGUCUUAAUAGGGCGUAUAGUCGCUGGGAUUAGGCCCGAAACCGUGUGAGCUACCCAUGGGCAGGGUGAAGCGAGUCUAAUCACUCGUGGAGGCCCGAACCCACUAACGUUGCAAAGUUAGGGGAUGACCUGUGGGUAGAGGUGAUAUGCCAAUCGAACACGGAGAUAGCUGGUUCUCCCCGAAAUAGCUUUAGGGCUAGCGUCAUGCGUUUAGAACUGGAGGUACAGCACUGAAUGGGCUAUGGGGCUUACAGCUUACAGAACCCAAUCAAACUCGGAAUGCCAGUUCUCCAUAGCAUGGCAGUCGGACUCCGGGAGAUGAGUUUCGGGGUCGAAAGGGAAACAGCCCAGAUCAUCGGCUAAGGUCCUAAAAUCUAUGCUAAGUGGAAACGAGGUGAGGUUACUUAAACAACC